This is a long non-coding RNA of Hibiscus syriacus, 892 nucleotides long. RefSeq lists it as uncharacterized. The transcript is spliced from 4 exons. Lineage: Eukaryota; Viridiplantae; Streptophyta; Magnoliopsida; Malvales; Malvaceae. The record is from RefSeq and is a predicted model, not a curated record.
UUUUGUGGGGUCUUGCUUUCUCUCCAAGUUUUGAGUUUUUUUUUUUAAUUUUCUAUUUCUCCUUAUCGGAAUGGGAUACUGCUUCCUGGGUUAUAAAUUCUAGGGCACAAGGUUGUUCUUUUAAGGCCUUCCGAGUCUUGUUGUGAAGUCUUUGUUUUUUGGGUUUCAAUUGUAAUAAUUAAGAUGAAAAGGGUUUCUCUGGUUGAUGAAAAAACUAGAGCUAGAUUGAAGCAUCAAACCCUACUCCAGGAAUUCUUGGAUUUGCAAAAGGAAUUUGUUUCCAAGAAGAAAAAACUUCCGGUGAUGAACCAGAAGCGAGACGCCCUCUUGGCCGAAGUUAGAUUUUUUGCGGCGGAGGUACAGCUAUUUAUUGAUGAUCAAGUCUCAAGAGUAUGAAUAUCAGCAAGAUUCUGUUCAAUCACAAAAUCCCAACCUGCAAAGCAAAUUGGCUAAGCCUAAGAGUUUGGCUAUCAAUGGAGCCGGUAAAAGAAGACCAUGUUCUCUUCCUGAUAUCGAUCUGAAUGUUUUCAUGAAGAAGGAAUUGGGCGAAAUCAAGGAAAUGUUCAGGCCCAGUUGAGAAAGGAGAAGAAGCCGAAAAACUGUUUGAGUAAUGGCAAAAGAGUUGGGAAGAAGAAAAUAACAUGGCAAGAUCCAGUGGCUUUGAAAGUCUGAAUCAAAUGGACAGUAAAGUUAUUUUUUCACACAGUUUAGCAGUUAAAACAAAGGUGGGAGCAAGAGUUAAAUGUCUCCCUCAAGAACAUUUGAGUGGGCAUUGCUACAGAUUAUUAUUAUUAUCACUGCCUUAUACUUCUUUUCUUUAGAAUUAAUUGUAAAUCAGGGAAAGUUUGCUCAGUUUAAGCAUACAUAUGAAUUCAUUGAUCGCUCAUUAAUC